RNAcentral lists this transfer RNA (73 nucleotides) under Lepisosteus osseus (longnose gar). RNAcentral's name for it is "tRNA-Asn". It matches the Rfam family "tRNA". From Rfam's summary of the family: Transfer RNA (tRNA) molecules are approximately 80 nucleotides in length. Their secondary structure includes four short double-helical elements and three loops (D, anti-codon, and T loops). Lineage: Eukaryota; Metazoa; Chordata; Actinopteri; Semionotiformes; Lepisosteidae. The record is from RNAcentral.
UAGAUGAAUGCUCGUCGGUUAGGGCGCUUAGCUGUUAACUAAGAUUUUGUAGGAUCGAGGCCUUCUCAUCUAG